GGGAAUAUAGUUAAAUAUAACAUUUGAAUUGCACUCAAAAAGUAUUGAUUUAUACUCAAUUUUUCUCA
Molecule: transfer RNA, 68 nt
Filed under: Nemoptera coa
Lineage: Eukaryota; Metazoa; Arthropoda; Insecta; Neuroptera; Nemopteridae
Description: tRNA-Ala
Rfam family: tRNA
About the family: Transfer RNA (tRNA) molecules are approximately 80 nucleotides in length.
Source: RNAcentral